GUGACUGCGUACCUUUUGUAUAAUGGGUCAGCGACUUAUAUUCUGUAGCAAGGUUAACCGAAUAGGGGAGCCGAAGGGAAACCGAGUCUUAACUGGGCGUUAAGUUGCAGGGUAUAGACCCGAAACCCGGUGAUCUAGCCAUGGGCAGGUUGAAGGUUGGGUAACACUAACUGGAGGACCGAACCGACUAAUGUUGAAAAAUUAGCGGAUGACUUGUGGCUGGGGGUGAAAGGCCAAUCAAACCGGGAGAUAGCUGGUUCUCCCCGAAAGCUAUUUAGGUAGCGCCUCGUGAAUUCAUCUCCGGGGGUAGAGCACUGUUUCGGCAAGGGGGUCAUCCCGACUUACCAACCCGAUGCAAACUGCGAAUACCGGAGAAUGUUAUCACGGGAGACACACGGCGGGUGCUAACGUCCGUCGUGAAGAGGGAAACAACCCAGACCGCCAGCUAAGGUCCCAAAGUCAUGGUUAAGUGGGAAACGAUGUGGGAAGGCCCAGACAGCCAGGAUGUUGGCUUAGAAGCAGCCAUCAUUUAAAGAAAGCGUAAUAGCUCACUGGUCGAGUCGGCCUGCGCGGAAGAUGUAACGGGGCUAAACCAUGCACCGAAGCUGCGGCAGCGACACUAUGUGUUGUUGGGUAGGGGAGCGUUCUGUAAGCCUGUGAAGGUGUACUGUGAGGUAUGCUGGAGGUAUCAGAAGUGCGAAUGCUGACAUAAGUAACGAUAAAGCGGGUGAAAAGCCCGCUCGCCGGAAGACCAAGGGUUCCUGUCCAACGUUAAUCGGGGCAGGGUGAGUCGACCCCUAAGGCGAGGCCGAAAGGCGUAGUCGAUGGGAAACAGGUUAAUAUUCCUGUACUUGGUGUUACUGCGAAGGGGGGACGGAGAAGGCUAUGUUGGCCGGGCGACGGUUGUCCCGGUUUAAGCGUGUAGGCUGGUUUUCCAGGCAAAUCCGGAAAAUCAAGGCUGAGGCGUGAUGACGAGGCACUACGGUGCUGAAGCAACAAAUGCCCUGCUUCCAGGAAAAGCCUCUAAGCAUCAGGUAACAUCAAAUCGUACCCCAAACCGACACAGGUGGUCAGGUAGAGAAUACCAAGGCGCUUGAGAGAACUCGGGUGAAGGAACUAGGCAAAAUGGUGCCGUAACUUCGGGAGAAGGCACGCUGAUAUGUAGGUGAAGCGACUUGCUCGUGGAGCUGAAAUCAGUCGAAGAUACCAGCUGGCUGCAACUGUUUAUUAAAAACACAGCACUGUGCAAACACGAAAGUGGACGUAUACGGUGUGACGCCUGCCCGGUGCCGGAAGGUUAAUUGAUGGGGUUAGCGGUAACGCGAAGCUCUUGAUCGAAGCCCCGGUAAACGGCGGCCGUAACUAUAACGGUCCUAAGGUAGCGAAAUUCCUUGUCGGGUAAGUUCCGACCUGCACGAAUGGCGUAAUGAUGGCCAGGCUGUCUCCACCCGAGACUCAGUGAAAUUGAACUCGCUGUGAAGAUGCAGUGUACCCGCGGCAAGACGGAAAGACCCCGUGAACCUUUACUAUAGCUUGACACUGAACAUUGAGCCUUGAUGUGUAGGAUAGGUGGGAGGCUUUGAAGUGUGGACGCCAGUCUGCAUGGAGCCGACCUUGAAAUACCACCCUUUAAUGUUUGAUGUUCUAACGUUGGCCCGUUAUCCGGGUUGCGGACAGUGUCUGGUGGGUAGUUUGACUGGGGCGGUCUCCUCCUAAAGAGUAACGGAGGAGCACGAAGGUUGGCUAAUCCUGGUCGGACAUCAGGAGGUUAGUGCAAUGGCAUAAGCCAGCUUGACUGCGAGCGUGACGGCGCGAGCAGGUGCGAAAGCAGGUCAUAGUGAUCCGGUGGUUCUGAAUGGAAGGGCCAUCGCUCAACGGAUAAAAGGUACUCCGGGGAUAACAGGCUGAUACCGCCCAAGAGUUCAUAUCGACGGCGGUGUUUGGCACCUCGAUGUCGGCUCAUCACAUCCUGGGGCUGAAGUAGGUCCCAAGGGUAUGGCUGUUCGCCAUUUAAAGUGGUACGCGAGCUGGGUUUAGAACGUCGUGAGACAGUUCGGUCCCUAUCUGCCGUGGGCGCUGGAGAACUGAGGGGGGCUGCUCCUAGUACGAGAGGACCGGAGUGGACGCAUCACUGGUGUUCGGGUUGUCAUGCCAAUGGCACUGCCCGGUAGCUAAAUGCGGAAGAGAUAAGUGCUGAAAGCAUCUAAGCACGAAACUUGCCCCGAGAUGAGUUCUCCCUGACUCCCUGAGAGUCCUGAAGGAACGUUGAAGACGACGACGUUGAUAGGCCGGGUGUGUAAGCGCAGCGAUGCGUUGAGCUAACCGGUACUAAUGAACCGUGAGGCUUAACCUUACAACGCCGAAGCUGUU
This 2370-nucleotide ribosomal RNA is filed under the name Escherichia coli. RNAcentral describes it as "bacterial LSU rRNA". It matches the Rfam family "Bacterial large subunit ribosomal RNA", at positions 593 to 2925 of the family's 2925-position model. Lineage: Bacteria; Pseudomonadati; Pseudomonadota; Gammaproteobacteria; Enterobacterales; Enterobacteriaceae. The record is from RNAcentral.